Molecule: non-coding RNA, 192 nt
Organism: Triticum urartu
Lineage: Eukaryota; Viridiplantae; Streptophyta; Magnoliopsida; Poales; Poaceae
Source: Rfam
AUACCUUUCUCGGCCUCUUAGCUAAGAUUAAAUGUAGUAUCUAUUCUUAUCAGUUUAAUAUCUGAUACGUGAAUCUACGGGUUCAUGGGAUAUUAAGUUAUUUUUUAUGGGAGAGCAAGCGUUGCACUAGUGCUUGGAACAGGUGCACCCCAACCAAAACAAAGAUUACAAUCUUGACCUUGGUUAAGUCCA